This is a long non-coding RNA of Sander lucioperca (pikeperch), 1179 nucleotides long. RefSeq lists it as uncharacterized. The record is from RefSeq and is a predicted model, not a curated record. The transcript has 2 exons. Lineage: Eukaryota; Metazoa; Chordata; Actinopteri; Perciformes; Percidae.
UUCACCCUUAUUUGAAUGGAAAAAAAAACAUUUUCAUACAUGAAAUUUGCCUUGGUGUUUUGGUGCAUAACAAUACUGUAAAAAUAGCAAGAGAUAAUACAAAAUAAACAGUCAAGAAACAUAAAUGAAAUAAAAGAAAUUGACAAUAAAAAGAUGGACAAUAUAACUUUUUAAAAUGAAGAGCUGUACAGUUUUGUGCAGGAAUGUGCAAAAUAUUGUCCAAGAAAUCUGCAAGAGUUUACAGUACAAAGUAUAGUAAUUAACUAAAUGGCUGCGAGUGCGGCUGGGUGGAGCCGCACAGCGAGCUCACAGUGGGAGCAAUGGGAGUAAUGGACAUGAUGUCAUUUGCAAAAGCAUACACCAACACAGAAACUAAUGAGCCGUUGGGUAAAUGGAAAAUAAAACUACUUUUCAGACUACCUCACCUUGAAGUGAGAGAAACAAUUUUCACUUCAGUUACCUUGACUGUGUUUGACUUCAAUUAAAUUCCUGCCUGACCUCAUAUUUAGGCUACUCCAUCUCUUUUUUCUCAUUUUUUUAUUCUGCCUUUUUUUGUUUUGCUGGCAGCUGGCAUGCAUUAGUGUUCUGUCAUGGGCACAGCUUAACUCAGCAAGGUCAAUGAAACAACUGGAAUGUUUUCAUUUCGGUGUUUGUAUAUUUGUUCUUGCCGUGUUUUUGACCUCUGAAACAUAUUUUCAGAAGGAUGUGCUCUCUAGGGCCAGAUGGUGCCACAAUAUGUAGCAUUAUUGUAGCUCAGGGCACAAUUACAGGGGUGAUAAAAUGAAAGGGAUGGACGAAUGGAAGGAAGCAAAGAUGGAGGUGAAUGAUGAAUUCUUUGACACAAAAAUCUCCUAACAACUUUGACUAAACAAAAUUGUCAUUGUUUGAAUGAGCUGAACAAGUUGUUUUUGCCAAACAAUUCCGGCUGCAGAGCAAAAAAAGUCAAAGUUUUUGUAAGUUUGCAUAAUUUAUUGUUGUUUCACAAGAAGUAAUGCUGAUUCUCUCCCGGUUCAUGUUUCAGGCUUGUAGUCGGCUGCAGUUGUACUGUGCUGCUUUCUAUCAUUCAGUUUUAUCUUUUUUAACCUACAGGUAGCCCAAUUAUAUCUGUACAAAUCACCAUUUGCAUCACAUGACUUUUUAUACCCUUAAACUUGUUUUUUAAUAAAUGAUUUAACCAUG